This 253-nucleotide ribosomal RNA is filed under the name uncultured bacterium. Its description in RNAcentral is "partial 16S ribosomal RNA". It matches the Rfam family "Bacterial small subunit ribosomal RNA", at positions 524 to 776 of the family's 1533-position model. The record is from RNAcentral.
UACGUAGGUGGCAAGCGUUAUCCGGAAUUACUGGGCGUAAAGCGCACGCAGGCGGUCUUGUAAGUUUGACGUGAAAGCUCUCGGCUUAACUGGGAGAGGUCGUUGAAGACUGCAAGACUUGAGGAAAUGAGAGGGGUGUAGAAUUCCCGGUGUAGUGGUGGAAUGCGUAGAUAUCGGGGGGAAUACCAGUGGCGAAAGCGGCACCCUAGCAUUUUUCUGACGCUCAUGUGCGAAAGCGUGGGGAGCGAACGGG